RNAcentral lists this long non-coding RNA (379 nucleotides) under Brassica rapa (field mustard). RNAcentral's name for it is "long non-coding RNA (BRAP_LNC005836)". The record is from RNAcentral. Lineage: Eukaryota; Viridiplantae; Streptophyta; Magnoliopsida; Brassicales; Brassicaceae.
AACAGUGUUUCACUCGAAGAAGCAUGAUUUUGAUAAACACUAAAUAUGGAAGAGUGCAAAAACUUUUCUUUCAUACUUCUCUUUUGUUUUUGUUUUUAUUUUCAAAAUUUUGAACUUUGAUUUUAAUUAUAGAUUUGAUUAUUUCAUCUGAAGGUAUAAGCGUUUUUUAUUUUUUUUGUUCUUUUAUUUGAAAAUAUAAUAUUUUUUUAAUAAAUGACUACGAUGACAAUAUAACUCUAAAAAUUAUAUAAUAUGAUCCCAAACUAAAUAAUUAUGUUUUGGUAUAAACCGAAUAAACCAAAAACCGACGGUAUAUAAACCAAACCGAACCAAAGUAAAUUUGAAUUUAGAAUAGUAGUUAUAUUUUACUAACCGAAAU